GACGACAGAACCUGCAAAACAAGAGACAGGGGCAUCUGAAGGGGCAGGGAAAGAGCCUGAGUCUUCGCAGACUCCCAGCCUCCCUGGCUCGGGAAGCAGGCCACAAAAUGACUGCUGUGGUUCCAGACAUUACACUCUCACUUAAAGAUAAGGCAGUGAGAAGAGGAUGUCUUCUUCAGAGGCUUCAUCAUCUGUCCAUGGCAUGUGGUUCCUCGCAAAACUUUCCCGAAGAUGUUCUUCACUUUCCCUGGGCAGGCUGGGACAUAGCUGACUUGGAAUCGUGCCCGCCCCCCGGGUCAGCAUGAGCACACAGAAGAGUUGAGCCACACUGCCUGGCGUGAGACUGUGAGCUCCACUAGUUUAUGACUGAGGAGAUUUGCUAUUUAAUGUCACCCAAACAAGCCCAAAGAUCCUUGGCCUUAUUAGGUGUAACAGGAAGUCUGUCCGAAGCCUGAUGCCCUCAGCAGAUUUCCCCUCUGAAGUCCCACUUCAUGACACCAACAGUGAAAUUUCGUCCAGGCAGAGGGGUAUGGGUGAGUUUGUCUCUCUACUCCCCUGCUGAGUGGCCUGAAAUACAUCUUACCUGGGCCUCUACCUGCAGUGUGUGCUUUUCACAGGGCAAGUGUGAAACAAGGUGCGUGCAUGUGUAUGGAGGUGGGAUCUGUCUGUGUGGGGAGAAGGGUCCCUGCCCUGAGUUUUCGUACUCUAGUUGAUUUAGUCCAUCUCUGAACGGCCCCAUUUCCAAGAAGAUCCAGAAGAGUCCAGACCAGUCUCUCAGCUUGGAAAGUAGUAUUUCUACAUUUUGGUGACCUUAUGAAUUCACAGUACUCACGUGCACAUGCACACACACACACACACACA
Molecule: long non-coding RNA, 861 nt
Organism: Fukomys damarensis (Damara mole-rat)
Lineage: Eukaryota; Metazoa; Chordata; Mammalia; Rodentia; Bathyergidae
Exons: 4
Source: RefSeq, a predicted model, not a curated record